GCAAGGAGUAGUUAGGUGGUUUGGGACCACUCAGCCCCCACCUUUCUCAGCAGCCCUUGAGGUCAACCAAAUGGCUAAACUGAAGAGCAACUUGGCAGCUAGUCAGAUAGGGGGUGGGGGGAAGAAGGGAGGAAAAGACUUGAAUUUUAACCGCCUCACCAGGGAUCUGACUCCCUGACAAUGAACAUUUAGAAGAUCCAUGCUGUGAUGGUGGUCUGUCCCUGGGAGAAGAUAAAUUUUCUUUUCCUUAUCUUCAUCCAGUGAUUCAAUUAAUGCAAAAACAAACUAAAACAACUCCAAUUGGUGUUUUCUGGGAGGGGCUGUGGAACACAGGGUUCCAGCCUAAGAGGAGCUCAUAGUCUAGUGCCUUCUUUAGGCUAUCAGCCUUGUACCCACCACUCCCUCACCUCGGCCUCUGAUAGAGGAGUAGUUGGAGACCGCGCCAGGGGAGCCACAGACAGAGAAAGCUAUGCAGAGCAGCCGAAUGAGCCACUAUGGGAAUCAGGAUUUCCUAACACAGGACAGGAAAUAUAGAGAAGGAGCUCCAGUCAAGAACAGAUACCUUUCUGGCCCUACAGGAGGAUAACCAUGUGGUGAUCAUCAUUUUUAGAGGCCAAGUUACAGCUGUAAAGCAGACAAGGGUAAAGGAACUUACAGCUUUUGUUCCUUUGCGUGGCAAGGUUGCUCUUGACAUUCACUCCAAAAUGGCCAAUGGGAGUAAUGCCAUGGUAAGUUUCAGAGUUUAUUCUCUUUCUGCCUCUGGACUCAGGGUAUUGUGACUUUCUAUUCAUUUGCUUUGCUGUUAUUAAUAACAUACUAUUUAAUUCACCAAUUUAAAUUGUAUAAUUUGAUAUUUUUCAGUAUAUCUAUAAAGUUGUACAGCCAUCAUCACAAUUUGUUUUAGAACAUUUAGAACAUUUUCAUCACCCCUGAAAAGGAUCCUUGUACCCAUUAGCAGUCAUUCCCACAGCUCCUUGAUCCUUGCCCACAUACCAGUUCUAAGCAACCACUAAUUUUUCUUUCUGUCUCUGUAGAUUUUUCUAUUCUGGGCAUUUCAU
This 1058-nucleotide long non-coding RNA is filed under the name Vulpes vulpes (red fox). RNAcentral describes it as "lncRNA (ENSVVUG00000016901.1)". The record is from RNAcentral. Lineage: Eukaryota; Metazoa; Chordata; Mammalia; Carnivora; Canidae.